CUCUUCUCCUCCAUAGCCGAGCGUCUUCUCCUCCAUGGUUGGCUGUGUCUCGUGCUCUCAUCUCCACACUUCUCCAUAGGUCCAUGGUGGCUGUGUCUCGUGCUCUCAUCUCCACACUCCUCCAUAGGCGGUCGUCUUGUCCUCCAUAGUCGGUUGUGUCCCCGUGCUCUGAUCUCCACUCAUCCUCGACAGCCGGGUCGAGUUUCCUCUGUUUUCCUCUCUUCAUUCAAGGAGUGUCUAGUGCCAAAUUUAUCACCACCCCGUCUCCACAAUCACAACCCUCUCUCAAUCUUCACUCACAAUCUCAUCAUCUUCCAAAACCCACCUCAAACAACUCCGGAAUAAACUCAAAACCAACCUAAAAACCAGAGUCUACUCCAGAAAAAAAAAAAGGAAAUCUUAUAUUCGGAAGAAACGUAAGAGGCAAAUGCGAGACAAUGAAGAAAUGGAGGAAAGAAAGCACUGAAGAAGGAGAUAGAGACCCCUCUCAACAUUAAUCUUCAGUCGAGUUUCUGUUUUCUCCAUUUUUUACCGAGUUUCCCGAUAUUUUCCUCU
Molecule: long non-coding RNA, 555 nt
Filed under: Vitis vinifera (wine grape)
Lineage: Eukaryota; Viridiplantae; Streptophyta; Magnoliopsida; Vitales; Vitaceae
Description: long non-coding RNA (VVIN_LNC006821)
Source: RNAcentral